AUUGAACGCUGGCGGCAUGCCUUACACAUGCAAGUCGAACGGCAGCACGGGAGCAAUCCUGGUGGCGAGUGGCGAACGGGUGAGUAAAGUAUCGGAACGUGCCCAGUCGUGGGGGAUAACGUAGCGAAAGUUACGCUAAUACCGCAUACGAUCUAUGGAUGAAAGCGGGGGAUCGCAGGACCUCGCGCGAUUGGAGCGGCCGACAUCAGAUUGGGUAGUUGGUGGGGUAAAGGCUCACCAAGCCUACGAUCUGUAGCUGGUCUGAGAGGACGAGCAGCAAAACGGGGACGGAGAAACGGCCCAGACUUCUACGGGAGGCAGCAGUGGGGAAUUUUGGACAAUGGGCGAAAGCCUGAUCCAGCCAUGCCGCGUGCAGGAUGAAGGCCUUCGGGUUGUAAACUGCUUUUGUACGGAACGAAAAGGUUUGGCCUAAUAAGCUGAGCUCAUGACGGUACCGUAAGAAUAAGCACCGGCUAACUACGUGCCAGCCGCCGCCGUAA
Molecule: ribosomal RNA, 500 nt
Filed under: uncultured bacterium
Lineage: Bacteria
Description: partial 16S ribosomal RNA
Rfam family: Bacterial small subunit ribosomal RNA
Source: RNAcentral